Molecule: long non-coding RNA, 696 nt
Organism: Polistes canadensis
Lineage: Eukaryota; Metazoa; Arthropoda; Insecta; Hymenoptera; Vespidae
Exons: 3
Source: RefSeq, a predicted model, not a curated record
GUUCACAACCAAUGUUUAAUAUAAACUGCGAACGUAUUACUAUUAGAAAAAAAAACGUAUUACUUUGAUUCUAUUUAUCGCAUAAUAUGUUAACUUGAUCAUUACCCGAAACAUAAACCAAGUAUUCGUCGACGAAAGUAUUACUUUCAGAGAAGGAAAUACUACUGUGAUCAUAUUAAUUCAUAACGUGUAAAAUUAAUCAGUAGCUAAGACAUCUAUCAAGUGCUCGUCAACGAAACAAUUGGGUUCAAUUUUCAAAAUAGAAUUCAUCAAAUUAAACGAAAUUUUGAUCGAACAAUCAAAAUUUCGAGCUUUGUCUCUAUAUUAAAAUAUUCAUCAAACAGCCAACACGUACGAACUUUACUGUCGAUUAUCUUGAUAUACGUAAAAUGGAAAAUAAAUAUAACAAAGAUAUUUUAAAUCUUAAGCAACAAGAAAAAUAUCUCAUGUUUAAGUUUAAUACAGAAUAUGGUAAUUUAUCAACGGAGAUUUUAAGACUGAAUAAAGAAUGUAAGAAAAAACGAGAAGAGUUAAAAGUUCUUCAGCUGAAAGUUCUUGAGUUGAACGAAUCCUUAUAUGAAAGGAAAAAACUAUCAAAUACUCCAACUGAUGAUCAAAAUAAUGAAUCUUCAGAGGAAUCUGAUGGACAAUUUGAUCAAAAAGAUAAAAUAUUUGAUGAAAUUGAAGAAAUAUCUG